This 254-nucleotide ribosomal RNA is filed under the name uncultured bacterium. Its description in RNAcentral is "partial 16S ribosomal RNA". It matches the Rfam family "Bacterial small subunit ribosomal RNA", at positions 524 to 776 of the family's 1533-position model. The record is from RNAcentral.
UACGUAGGGGGCGAGCGUUGUCCGGAUUCAUUGGGCGUAAAGAGCUCGUAGGCGGUUUGGCAAGUCGGGUGUGAAAUCUCUGGGCUCAACUCAGAGAGGCCACUCGAUACUGCUAUGACUAGAGUCCGGUAGGGGACCAUGGAAUUCCUGGUGUAGCGGUGAAAUGCGCAGAUAUCAGGAGGAACACCGGUGGCGAAGGCGGGUCUCUGGGCCGAUACUGACGCUGAGGAGCGAAAGCGUGGGGAGCGAACAGG